RNAcentral lists this ribosomal RNA (507 nucleotides) under Eucephalobus striatus. RNAcentral describes it as "SSU rRNA". It matches the Rfam family "Eukaryotic small subunit ribosomal RNA", at positions 88 to 590 of the family's 1831-position model. The record is from RNAcentral. Lineage: Eukaryota; Metazoa; Nematoda; Chromadorea; Rhabditida; Cephalobidae.
CGCGAAUGGCUCAUUACAACAGCUAACAAAUCUACUUGAUCUUGACACAAUCCUACUUGGAUAACUGUGGUAAUUCUAGAGCUAAUACAUGCAUUAAAGCUCUGACCUUCGGGGAAGAGUGCAUUUAUUAGAACAAAACCAAGCGGCUUCGGCUGUUUUCGGUUGACUCAUAGUAACUGAGCUGAUCGCAUGGUCUUGCACCGGCGACGUGUCUUUCGAGUAUCUGCCGUAUCAACUUUCGAUGGUAGUGUAUCUGACUACCAUGGUGAUCACGCGUAACGGAGAAUAAGGGUUCGACUCCGGAGAGUUCGCCUGAGAAAUCGCGAACACAUCUAAGGAAGGCAGCAGGCGCGAAAAUUACCCACUCUCAGCACGAGGAGGUAGUGACGAAAAAUAACGAGACCGUUCUCUUAUGAGGCCGGUCAUCGGAAUGGGUACAAUUUAAACCCUUUAACGAGUAUCUAUGAGAGGGCAAGUCUGGUGCCAGCAGCCGCGGUAAUUCCAGCU